Molecule: long non-coding RNA, 462 nt
Filed under: Elaeis guineensis (African oil palm)
Lineage: Eukaryota; Viridiplantae; Streptophyta; Magnoliopsida; Arecales; Arecaceae
Description: long non-coding RNA (EGUI_LNC080068)
Source: RNAcentral
UCCGAGAAGGUUGAUUCAAUCCGAAUGGACUCGAGGAUUGCUAAAAGAAAAACAUCUCACUAUAGUCAACACUAUAACUUUAAUGAAAUCCUUGGCAAUCAGACAGAAUUAAUAGGUCUCCACCUUUCCGUCUGCACCUCUUAUCCAUUUAAAAUCUACUCACACCCUAUGAAUCUUACCCAUUCAGAUGAAUCAACAAAUGUCCAUACAUCGUCGAUCUUUAUGGAUUUUAUUUUAGAUUUAAUGGCUCUAAGCCACUUCUCAAAGUUAGAUCUCUGUAUAGCAUCCAUAUAGGAGAUCAAAUCUCCAUCCCGAACCUAGAAACCGAAUUGUCUAUUCGGUUGACAUGGUAUUCUACUAUAUUUACUCAAGGAUGCUUUUACAUCGGACUCCGGAUUUGAUCUAAUCAACUCUGAUUCUGUUGGUUUGUGUCAAAGUCAUUUCCUUUACCUAUCAAGCUUC